CAAAUCGAUUGGAAGAAGCAUCUUUGCGCUUGGGGCAAUGACGCAGCUUAUGAGGUUCUAACCGAGGCGCGUCUAUUGCUGGUUGAAAACUAUUUCCAAACCCCCUCACUGGCCGCGGUUCAGCCGUGGCCUCUGAGAAUUUCUGGAAGGGCUCCCUUUGGGGUAAAGCCCUACAAUUCUUAGUUUAAAACUAUUUAUUUUUAUCAUCAAAAAACUUAUAAUUUAAUUGUAAUUUUUGUUCAUGAUUUUUAGUUAGAAAUACCCGUACUUAAAUAUAUUAAAUUUUGUUGACUUAUAAUUAUUCAAAUUU
Molecule: small nuclear RNA, 310 nt
Filed under: Prunus dulcis (almond)
Lineage: Eukaryota; Viridiplantae; Streptophyta; Magnoliopsida; Rosales; Rosaceae
Description: sRNA ncRNA
Rfam family: U4 spliceosomal RNA (bases 20-170)
Source: RNAcentral